GGCCGGGUUCUGCGCAACGGGAACCCGUGAACCGAGUCAGGGUCGGAAGACAGCAGCUCUCAGCGGAUCUUCUCGUGUGCCGCAGGGGACCUGGCUGCU
Molecule: signal recognition particle RNA, 99 nt
Filed under: Actinomycetota bacterium
Lineage: Bacteria; Bacillati; Actinomycetota
Description: signal recognition particle sRNA small type
Rfam family: Bacterial small signal recognition particle RNA
About the family: The signal recognition particle (SRP) is a universally conserved ribonucleoprotein involved in the co-translational targeting of proteins to membranes. Archaeal SRP consists of a 7S RNA and homologues of the eukaryotic SRP19 and SRP54 proteins. In most bacteria, the SRP consists of a 4.5S RNA and the Ffh protein (a homologue of the eukaryotic SRP54 protein).
Source: RNAcentral